GAGGGUAUAGCUCAAGUGGUAGAGCGCAAGCUUAGCAUGCACAAGGUCCUGGGUUCAAUCCCCAGUACCUCCU
Camelus ferus (Wild Bactrian camel) is the source of this 73-nucleotide transfer RNA. It matches the Rfam family "tRNA". Rfam says of the family: Transfer RNA (tRNA) molecules are approximately 80 nucleotides in length. Lineage: Eukaryota; Metazoa; Chordata; Mammalia; Artiodactyla; Camelidae. The record is from Rfam.